AGAAAGCAUUCCAGGAUGGUGCGUGUGCCUGGAAGCCCUGUCUGUCAGCAGAUGUCACUGCCUCCACCACCUGCAUAUGAGUCAACACCACACAGGCAACCAGCUCAUUGCCCAGAGCUGGAUGGGUCUAUUAUAACGCCUGCCACUUCAUCUUGGGACCCAGUUGAAG
This is a long non-coding RNA of Alosa alosa (allis shad), 169 nucleotides long. RefSeq lists it as uncharacterized. Lineage: Eukaryota; Metazoa; Chordata; Actinopteri; Clupeiformes; Clupeidae. The record is from RefSeq and is a predicted model, not a curated record. The transcript has 3 exons.